AUGCAUCAUAUAGAUAGCUUUUUUGCAUUGUUCAAAAAACUUUGUAGUCUCAACGAUGAUGCAUACAUGUCAACUAUGGGUGUUGGCUCCAACAAUUCGCAUUGGUCUCAAACAAAUGACAUCCAUUUCGAAGACCAUGAGUUUGAGGUGGACGAGGAGGGCAAGGGCAUUAUCGACGCGCCGAAAGGAAGAUCGAGCAAUUACACCAACAAAGAUGACAUCUUACUAUGCUAUACUUGGUUGCACGUGUCGAGGGAUCCAUCCGUUAGAGGUGAUCAAAGUAGAGAUGCUUAUUGGGGGCGGAUGAAAGAAAACUUUGAUGAUCACAAUGUGAGUGGAAUUGACCGCUCCGAGAGAUCACUUCGGUCCCGAUGGUCGACAAUCAACUCGGAUUGUCAAAAGUGGGCGGCCGCACAAAAGUCGGUUGACAAGUUGAACCCAAGUGGCACAAAUGAGGACGAUAGAGUAAGUGGCAUUUCAUACAUGUUCGUCAUACUUGUUUUUGGUGUCCGAAGUGCUAACUUGCUUUGUUUUCAUGUAGUACAACAUUGCACAAAACUUGUUCAAAGAAGAGGUGAGGACAACCAAGAAGGGGAAGAUCAAGAAAGGAAGGAUCUUUACAUUGCCUCAUUGCUAUGA
RNAcentral lists this ribosomal RNA (639 nucleotides) under Triticum aestivum (bread wheat). Its description in RNAcentral is "partial small subunit ribosomal RNA". The record is from RNAcentral. Lineage: Eukaryota; Viridiplantae; Streptophyta; Magnoliopsida; Poales; Poaceae.